This 76-nucleotide transfer RNA is filed under the name Candidatus Omnitrophica bacterium ADurb.Bin277. Its description in RNAcentral is "tRNA-Arg". Lineage: Bacteria; Pseudomonadati; Candidatus Omnitrophota. The record is from RNAcentral.
UGCCCCCAUAGCUCAAUUGGAUAGAGCAUCUCCGUCCUAAGGAGAGGGUUCCCUGUUCGAUUCAGGGUGGGGGCGU